GGCGUGCCUAACACAUGCAAGUCGAACGGUAACAGGGACUUCGGUCCGCUGACGAGUGGCGCACGGGUGAGUAACGCGUGGAGUUACCUACCCAUCAGUGAGGAACAACCUGGAGAAAUCCAGGCUAAUACCGCAUACGACCUUCGGGUGAAAGAGGGGGAUCUUCGGACCUCUCGCUGAUGGAUGGUUCCGCGUCCGAUUAGUUAGUUGGUAAGGUAAUGGCUUACCAAGACGAUGAUCGGUAGCUGGUUUGAGAGGAUGAUCAGCCACACUGGAACUGAGACACGGUCCAGACUCCUACGGGAGGCAGCAGUGGGGAAUUUUGCACAAUGGGCGCAAGCCUGAUGCAGCGACGCCGCGUGCGGGAAGAAGGCCUUCGGGUUGUAAACCGCUUUCAACAGGGAAGAAGGAAUGAGGGUCAAUACCCCUCUGCCUUGACGGUACCUGUAGAAGAAGCCCCGGCUAAUUUCGUGCCAGCAGCCGCGGUAAUACGAAAGGGGCAAGCGUUGUUCGGAUUUACUGGGCGUAAAGAGAUCGUAGGUGGCUUGUUAAGUCGGAUGUGAAAUCCCGGGGCUCAACCCCGGAACUGCAUUCGAUACUGGCAGGCUUGAGUUCGGGAGGGGGAAGCGGAAUUCCGUGUGUAGCAGUGAAAUGCGUAGAUAUACGGAGGAACACCUGAGGCGAAGGCGGCUUCCUGGACCGAUACUGACACUGAGGAUCGAAAGCGUGGGUAGCAAACAGGAUUAGAUACCCUGGUAGUCCACGCCCUAAACGAUGUCUACUAGCCGUUGCGGGUAUCGACCCCUGCAGUGGCGCAGCUAACGCGAUAAGUAGACCGCCUGGGGAGUAC
This 850-nucleotide ribosomal RNA is filed under the name uncultured Zetaproteobacteria bacterium. RNAcentral's name for it is "bacterial SSU rRNA". It matches the Rfam family "Bacterial small subunit ribosomal RNA", at positions 41 to 883 of the family's 1533-position model. Lineage: Bacteria; Pseudomonadati; Pseudomonadota; Candidatius Mariprofundia. The record is from RNAcentral.